Molecule: unclassified non-coding RNA, 212 nt
Filed under: soil metagenome
Description: partial contains 5.8S ribosomal RNA, internal transcribed spacer 2, and large subunit ribosomal RNA
Source: RNAcentral
AAGACUAUAGACCUGCGGAGUACCUGCGGAAGGAUCAUUACCGAGUUAUACAACUCAUCAACCCUGUGAACAUACCUAUAACGUUGCCUCGGCGGGAACAGACGGCCCCGUAACACGGGCCGCCCCCGCCAGAGGACCCCCUAACUCUGUUUCUAUAAUGUUUCUUCUGAGUAAACAAGCAAAUAAAUUAAAACUUUCAGCAAUGGAUCUCU